Molecule: long non-coding RNA, 4008 nt
Filed under: Heterocephalus glaber (naked mole-rat)
Lineage: Eukaryota; Metazoa; Chordata; Mammalia; Rodentia; Bathyergidae
Description: lncRNA (ENSHGLG00100051076.1)
Source: RNAcentral
ACGCCCGGGCCCUCCCACUCUGCCUCCAACCCCAGAGCGUGGACGCAAGGGGAGGAGAGGUGAGGAAUCAGGGGUCCUACGCAGCUGCCGCCCCUGGCCCCCUCUCUUCACAAUUCCCGUUCGCACGAGUUGCGCGGUCUCCAGUCUUCCUCGGGCUGCGUGUGGAGGUGCGGACGGGGUGAAGGAGAGGAGCUGCCUUCACUCGGGAGGAAGAGAGAGGCGAGCGAGGAGGGAAGGCAGGCAGGGGCGCCCGGUGACCGCACAGGGCUCCGCACCCCGCUCCCCGCCACCCUCUCCGGCUCCGGCUGCGGGGUCGACCGCGGCGAAGGACGCAGCCCUGGGGUUGGGGUUCAGCAGCCACUCACCAAAGCACCAAGAGCCCAGCAGCAGCGUCGCCGCCAAGGGCCACAUCUCCGCGCCGGCCCUGUGGGUUCCGCAGCCAAGGGUGUCGAGCAGCCGCCGCCUCCGAUACCGUUGCGGGCGGAUCCGGCACGCGCGCUCCCCAGCCCCCUCGGGCUCUGGUGCCGAUCUGCGCCCUCCGCGGGCCUCCCGCCCAAGUCCCGCCGUCCUCGCUCUCCCACGGCUCCAUACGCCACAGCGGGCUGAGCCCUUAUCCCCAGCUCAUGGGGGUCCCCGCUGCCCUCCGCUCUGCGGCUUCUUCCGCCUCCACAGAGCCCGGGCCCCACAGUCCCCGCCGCGCCUUCGCUCUGCCGCGAUCCAGGCCCCGCCAGGCUUCGCUCCGCCGACCUCGGAGUCCCCGCUACGCGCCGCCCGGCCUCCCUCUGCUGGGCCAGGGCCCCGACCCUCCCUCGGCCCUCACCAGGGCCCUUCUCCCCCCAACCCCCAGACCCCCGCGGGGUUCCCACGCCCGAGCCCGAGGGCCGCGCGGAGCCGGGGCGCCGUGACCGCUCCCCGCCCUGACGCUGGCGGCCGCCUUCUUUGUUUCAGGUGCGGGCCUCUUACCUCUCUCUCUCUCUCUCGUGUUUUUAUCGAGUAAGUUCCAGUUGUGGUGGUGAACGUUCAUAAUGGGACUAACACAGAGAUGGCAAACAGAGUAGACCGAGCCAGGACACCCCGGCCAGCGGUGUCACUGAGUACGGUUUGUGACUCUACCGUGUGUACUUCUCUGCGCUGUUUGGGUUUAUCGUGCUUGAAAAAUGGGUUCAGAAUGUGGCUCCAAGCUACAAUAUGGACAGGGCCUCUGAAUAUAUCGCUGAAUCACACAGGCCGUAUCAUUCAUCUCAAAGCAAAAGCCCUUUUAAAGCUACCAUUAGCGUUUAUCCCAAGUGAUGAACUCUCUUGUCAGUGUCAGGCUCUGGUGGCUGCUCUCAUGGAGCUUAUAUGGUCUAUUUCCUUGAUGGUUUUCUCACAUACUGGAAAAGACAGCAGUUUCCCACCACAGUAUCCCAACUUCUCCAAAUCCUCUACCCUGGACAUCUUCUCCCUAGCAUUUAUCACCACAGGAAUAAAAUUCAGGAAAUAGAAUUGCUUCUCUCUAUGACACGGAAGCAAUGUAUUGUAUUCUGUGAAGUACUGCCUCUUCUAAGAUUUUCCAUUAAAUUGGGCAAACAGAAGAGGUGUACUAAAUCUAUUAAUGUGACUAGCCAAGUUGCUGUAGUGAAACUUGAUUGUUAAGUGAUUGAAAAAAGAAAGAAAAAUAGUAGUCGAGCAGACAUCUCACUAAAACAAUGAUUAAUAACUAUGAUAGUAACAAUUUGAAUGGAAGCCUUGACACCCUGAGGCUAUGAGAGGAGCUGAUCAAUUUUCCAGCUGCUACAAAAGAAUCAUCCAACAGACUUUGAGCAUUAGGGACACUUGGCUAAAUAAGGCUGUCAGCUGUCCCGGCAACCGACCAACCCCCUAAAGCUGCAGAGUGACUGGAGAGGUACCUGGAGAGAUCCAGUGAUGCUCUAAACUGAAAUAGGCUUAAGUCAGGCAAAUCAGAGGCACCUGGGCAAUCACCUCUGCUCUAGUUCGGACAAGUUGGUGGGUUGAAGGGGUGGUGCAGGACCAAGAGGAGUCCCAUCCUAGGAGUGACAGUCCAUAGUAGCCUGCUAUGGUUUGAUAUCUUCUUUCUGAGAUGACCUUAAACUCUUUUCUCUAGUAUAUAACCUCCUUAAGAGUUUUAAUUUAUUCAGACAGAUUUAUUUGAAAAUGAGCUUGUUUUAUCUUUAUGUAAUGGAGUUCUUCAAUGGAAGGAGAGGGGAUGAUGUAUAUUUGAAUGUUUGAACAUAGUAUAGUGUCCAGCAGGGAGUCCUUGAGGGGGAUACCCCCAUAGACCUUGUUUCUCCAGUUCCCUCACCGUCUUUCCCAGAAAGAAUGAGGAAGUGGGGCAAGAUUGGCUCAAAGUCAAGCCUCAAGUGGAAAAUGAGAAUGUCAGAAUUAAAGAGAUGCCUAAGCCAGAGUUUAUUUAUGGUGUGGUGAAUGCAGGAAACCCCCCCCCCCAAAAACCUACCUUACAGCAGAGCGCACUUCAAAGUAGGGGAACCUGAGCAGGUGUGGAAUUCAGAGAGCCAGUGUACUCAUACUUACAGGAGUAAGCUGGUUUCUAAAACGAACUGUUUCAUUGAUUGGUGUUAUUUCUCAAUUUCACCCAGCUGUGGCAGAAUAGAGCCACAGUCAUCCCAUGAAGACAUGGAGCAUAAGGGCCUGUGCUGUCUGGGCAAGAACAGAGUUUGGAUAAUCAGUACCUUGGAGAUACUGACAUGGGGUUGGAGAGGCAGACUUAGCCUAAGAAAAGAGAAGUAAAGGUUCCAGGGUGUCCUCACCAGUGCUUCAAUCAAAUGCAAAUACCGAGGGCAAUCUAAUAUGCUGUGAAUCUCCUUCUGUGUGUCCAGGAAGUAACAGGAUACUUUGCCUCUGCCAGGAAUAUGCACAGGGUUUCUAUUUCUUGCUUCUCCUCCUGCUGUUGGAGCUCCAGCUGCUUAUGUGGAAUCCAUAUUCAUGUAAUUUCAAAACACUGGGAAAAGCCAGCAUCCAGGCAGGGGAGGUUGUAAAAUUGCAGCAGGAGCAUUUCUAUGAGAGUGCAGUAUUUUGCAUCCCGCAAAGGGCCCUUCAUAUCCUGCCUAACUCUCACAUUUGGGCUAAAUAACAAACAUAGUGAAUGUCCCUUUGUGAGUAGUUUUAUUUUCUGCUUGUUAUUGUAGGGAACAGGGAAAGGGGAUGUUACUAGGACCUCUACAGUAAGUCCUAGUCUCCUGAGAGCCGUGGCAGCACAAGGUGAAUUAACUUAUUAUACAGGAAAGGUAGAAAAAAAUGAAACUUUGAGAAGAAGCUGAGCUUUGGGCCUGAUCAGUGCUGCUCUGGGCAGCAAAGACGAAAACUCCCAGCUUACCACACCUUUUAUUCAGUAUAAUGGCAGAAACAAAUGUAACAAAUGACUUGCAGAGAGUUCAGUACAUCGGCAUAAACAAAGUAUAACAAUCCAAGAACAAUGAGGAACUGAGUAGAUGGAAGAUUUUGUUCCUCCCAGGAUUUCUUCAGCUGGUGUAAUCUUGUCCUGGAGCAUCACAGCAUCACUGGAUCAUUGAGGUCUCAGUUGUGACCUGGGACCAAAAUGGAAUUAUGUCUCAAAAUGCCAUAGCCGGCCUGUAGGCAGGAGAGCUAGUCCUAAUCAAAUGAUUUUUCCCUAAAAUUAUGUAGCAUUGCUCCCAAAAUGUUAUGGCUUGUACCUUGUAAUGGCUUGUACCUAUUUUCUGCUUGCUAUGGCUUAUGGUUUGUCUCCCCAAAUCCUCAUGUGCUCCUGGGUAGGGCUUUUCAGAGCUGGCCGGAUUUAAGGCGUGUGAUACUGGGAUUAAGGGUGUGUGGUACUAAUUGAGUCCACUGAUUGGUGUAGCAUAGUUCUGGGUGUGGAAAAGGCUAGUAGCCUGGAUGGGAUAAAAGGGAGAGGGAAGGGAGGCUUGCUGCUUGCUGCCUUCUGCCUGUUGUGCUAUAGACUGUUUAUUCUUUGCCGUGUCAUACUGCCUUGGAGCCAGGUGACUAUGGACUGAAAUCUCUACACACUGUGAG